RNAcentral lists this small RNA (1503 nucleotides) under Pongo abelii (Sumatran orangutan). RNAcentral's name for it is "retained intron". Lineage: Eukaryota; Metazoa; Chordata; Mammalia; Primates; Hominidae. The record is from RNAcentral.
GGAUUCUUAUCAGCAAAACAGUGAUGAAACAGCAAUCCCAUAACAGCUAGCUAGUUACCUUCUCAAGCACUUAUUAAAUGAGGCAUAAUGAUUUUGCUUAAUCCUCAAUCCUGAGAGGUGGGUGAUCCCUGUGGUGAUGAGGAAACCGAGGCUUGGGGGUUAAUGGCUCGCCUAGAUUCACACUGCUAGCCAAGGAAUGAACUGGAACUUACACCCUGGCCCUGACUGCUUUUCACAUUUUCUACACAGCCCUUUCAAGAUCCCUGCCAAUUCUAAAAUUAAAUGAUUCUAUGAUUAACUGUGUUUCAUCCUUCUGCAUCAGUUCCCAAAACAAAUUAUAUCAAGAGACAGCAAAAAUGCUUGUAAAGAAAGGAUGUCCAACAAUCUGUGUGGUUGUUUUUCUGUGUUCCUCCAAUGGUAGGGCCUCUGUUCACCAGUGCCAUCUCUUCUUUUAGCUGUAAGAAAAGCCUGGAGUGCACAAAGUUGUGCCUACCCCAGAUUGAGAAUGUUAAGGGCACUGAGGACUCAGGCACCACAGUGCUGUUGCCCCUGGUCAUCUUCUUUGGUCUUUGCCUUUUAUCUCUCCUCUUCAUUGGUUUAAUGUAUCGUUACCAACGGUGGAAGUCCAAGCUCUACUCCAUUGUUUGUGGGAAAUCGACACCUGAAAAAGAGGGGGAGCUUGAAGGAACUACUACUAAGCCCCUGGCCCCAACCCCAAGCUUCAGUCCCACUCCAGGCUUCACCCCCACCCUGGGCUUCAGUCCCAUGCCCAGUUCCACCUUCACCUCCAGCUCCACCUAUACCCCCGGUGACUGUCCCAACUUCGCGGCUCCCCGCAGAGAGGUGGCACCACCCUACCAGGGGGCUGACCCCAUCCUUGUGACAGCCCUCGCCUCCGACCCCAUCCCCACCCCCUUUCAGAAGUGGGAGGACAGCGCCCACAAGCCACAGAGCCUAGACACGGAUGACCCCGCGACGCUGUACGCCGUGGUGGAGAACGUGCCCCCGUUGCGCUGGAAGGAAUUCGUGCGGCGCCUAGGGCUGAGCGACCACGAGAUCGAUCGGCUGGAGCUGCAGAACGGGCGCUGCCUGCGGGAGGCGCAAUACAGCAUGCUGGCGGCCUGGAGGCGGCGCACGCCGCGGCGCGAGGCCACGCUGGAGCUGCUGGGACGCGUGCUCCGCGACAUGGACCUGCUGGGCUGCCUGGAGGACAUCGAGGAGGCGCUUUGCGGCCCCGCCGCCCUCCCGCCCGCGCCCGGUCUUCUCAGAUGAGGCUGCGCCCCCGCGGGCAGCUCUAAGGACCGUCCUGCGAGAUCCCCUUCCAACCCCACUUUUUUCUGGAGAGGAGGGGUCCUGGAGGGGCAAGCAGGAGCUAGCAGCCGCCUACCUGGUGCUAACCCCUCGAUGUACAUAGCUUUUCUCAGCUGCCUGCGCGCCGCCGACAGUCAGCGCUGCGCACGCGGAGAGAGGUGCGCCGUGGGCUCAAGAGCCUGAGUGGGUGGU